UUUCUGUGCAACGUCAUCGCAGAUGUGCGCGCGCAGCCAGGGGGCAGAAAGCGGGACAUUUGUCAUUUGUUUACCAGCGGAGUCAGCGGAGAACGAAAAUGACAAGGAGCUGUUGUGCUGUAAACUGCACGAAUCGGCAAAAGGAUGGAUGGAAACUGUUUAAUAUCCCGAGAGGAUCUCAUCCUUUUGCCAAGAGAAGAAGAAGAUUGUGGCUCCAGGCCAUUAAAAGGGCGGAUUGGCCGUCCCGAAGGUCCUAAAGGCGGCGAGAGUCUGUGCAGCGCCCACUUCGUUUCUGGGUCACCGUCCAUGGAUUGUGAUAGUCCAGAUUUUGUUCCAUCCGUUUUUUCACACAGCAGCAACUGAGACAUCUCGGGAAAGGUGGCAAGAUAUGAAAGAAAGAGAAUAAGAGAUGAAGAUAAGGCCCCUGCUACCUGCCCCACAAGCCAGCCUGAAGCAGAUACUGCAGAUUCUUCUGAAGAUGAAUGUAAGUUUGUGUCCAGAAAAGAGAUGCACCAACUCAACCUGCAGUACAACCAGCUCCGUGAUGAUUAUGAAGCUCUGAAAAGAGAACUGUAUGCCACACAGGAAGAAAAUAAACAUCUGAAGGAGCAACUGAAGCAGUCCAAGUUUGGGUUUGAUUCCAUAAAAGACACAAAUGCUAAAAUAUUUUUUUUUACUGGUUUACAAUCAUUACAAAUGGUUAUGUGGCUGCUGGAUAUUGUAAAAAGAAGCACACUUGUGCUUAAGGGUGGGUUAAGUUGGGAGAACCACCUCCUUUUGGUUCUAAUGAAAGUAAGACUUGGACUCACCAACAGAGACCUUGCCUACAGAUUUGGGCUUCCAUUCUCAACUGUAUCAAAAAUACUAAGAGACUGGAUACCCAUGUUGUCCUCAAUAGUGAAACCUUUGAU
Gadus macrocephalus (Pacific cod) is the source of this 911-nucleotide long non-coding RNA. RefSeq lists it as uncharacterized. Lineage: Eukaryota; Metazoa; Chordata; Actinopteri; Gadiformes; Gadidae. The transcript has 4 exons. The record is from RefSeq and is a predicted model, not a curated record.